AAUUGGUGGCUGGGAUGAUGUUCUUGUUAUGUGUGAAAGAGGGCAUUUGCAACCACAAGUCCUUUUCUUUGAAGCUGUAAAGUAGUUUGACUUGGAAAAGAUGCAAACAGAUUGAUCUGACCUUCAUGUUAUGUAUUGAUGGAGCAAAAGAGGUCUCAAAUUCAUACUCUGGAAAUAUAGGUGUACAAACCCUAGUUGUAGUAUACAAACAAGUUGUCUUGAUGAAGAGAGAAAAGGAGUCACAGUUGUGUGCAGACAGUUUUCAUAG
RNAcentral lists this unclassified non-coding RNA (268 nucleotides) under Hevea brasiliensis (rubber tree). Lineage: Eukaryota; Viridiplantae; Streptophyta; Magnoliopsida; Malpighiales; Euphorbiaceae. The record is from RNAcentral.